Molecule: long non-coding RNA, 1119 nt
Organism: Macaca mulatta (Rhesus monkey)
Lineage: Eukaryota; Metazoa; Chordata; Mammalia; Primates; Cercopithecidae
Source: Ensembl
AUGUGUGAUGAUAAUUCGCCCAUGCCUGAGGAAGACAGAAACACAGCAGGAGCAGAAAGCUGCUUUAAGACACACUCUCCCAGCGCUACGGAGAAGGGACUGUGGAAGACCCUGUGGAUUUUCACUUCAGUCCCCCUCAAGCUCCCUGGGGUAAGGCCAGAGGGAUUGAACAUUGGCACCUCCUGGGAGCUGCCAAUCACCUGGCAGUCACCUCUUCUCACUCAGCAGAUGCUGCGUUAAGAAGCACAUCCCUCUCCCCCUCUUGACACUGUCUAUGCUCAGGUACCUGAGUACCCACAGACUUGGACAUUCCAUAAAAUCAAUAAAUGAAUAGUAGUGUAUCAGGCAUAUUACUGUGAUUUUAAAAAUGUGAGUGUUCAUAUUAUAAAGUGAAAGAAAACAAUCUAAAAAGACCACAUAGUGUAUGAUUCCAACUAUAUGACAUUCCAGAAAAGGCAAAACUCUGGAAAUAGUAAAAAGACCAGUGAUUUCCAGAGGUUAGUGGUGAGGGAAGCAGGAAUAGCAGAGCACAGAGGAUUUUUGGGGCAAAGAAAGCAUUCUGUGUGAUGCAGUGAUGAUAAAUCCAUGUCAUUAUCCAUUUGCCAAAACCCAUAGAAUGUACAACACCAAGAGUGAAUGCUAAUGUUAGCUGCAGACUUUGGGUGAUAAUGAGGUGUUAACACAGGUUUAUUGGUAGUUGCAGUGUUCCACUCUUGGUGGGAUGUGGACAGUAGGGAGAGCUAUGCACCUGUGCGGGCAGAGGGUAUAUGGGAACUCUUUGUACUUUCCAUGUGACUUUUCUAUGAACCUAGAACUGCUCAUUAAAAUAAAGCAUACAUUUUUAAACAUGAGCAUAGCACUCAAAGGAUGACGUUCGAAGGCCAGGAACCUUCGCCUUUCUGGUCUUUCACCUUGGCCACGCCUUGGCUGGGCCUCAGGCUGCUCACCUGGAUCUUCUGGAUAUUCUCUCUGUCCAGCCCGGUGGUCCCUGUGUAGUAAGAAGCAUUUGGAACUGUGGAGGGCUCUGGCUUGUUACAAGGCAGAUCCCUGCUGCCAGCACAAGCACUGGCCACAUGAAACGUAAGGUCUAGGAUGCAUAAUAUGGUAGCAUAAUAAUUU